CACAUUUGCAACUCAGGUGAUUAAAGAGUUACCUUCCAGUGUCUCAAAAAUUCAAUUGUAGGAACAGAAAAAUACAAAACCAAAAUAAGGUAUUGUUAUGCUGUCCAGCACAGGCUGGUGUCUAACUCCUGGAUUAAAGCCAUCCUCCCUCCUCAGCUUCUCGAGUAUCUGGGACUACAGCACUUCCACAUCUUUCUGCUUUAACGUUCAGCACAAGCUAUAAUCAAUAUGUAUCUAUAUAAAGUCAAUACAUAUCCCUGGCUACGAUGUGAGCUUUUAAGAAAUGGGACUAUGUUCAGGAGAUCAAGACCAUCCUGGCUAACACGGUGAAACCCCAUCUCUACUAAAAGUACAAAAAGAAU
RNAcentral lists this long non-coding RNA (362 nucleotides) under Homo sapiens (human). RNAcentral's name for it is "HSALNT0364743". Lineage: Eukaryota; Metazoa; Chordata; Mammalia; Primates; Hominidae. The record is from RNAcentral.